Molecule: ribosomal RNA, 444 nt
Filed under: uncultured soil bacterium
Lineage: Bacteria
Description: bacterial SSU rRNA
Rfam family: Bacterial small subunit ribosomal RNA
Source: RNAcentral
AGAGCGAACGCUGGCGGCAGGCCUAACACAUACAAGUCGAACGGACCCUUCGGGGUUAGUGGCGGACGGGUGAGUAACACGUGGGAACGUGCCUUUAGGUUCGGAAUAGCUCCUGGAAACGGGUGGUAAUGCCGAAUGUGCCCUUCGGGGGAAAGAUUUAUCGCCUUUAGAGCGGCCCGCGUCUGAUUAGCUAGUUGGUGAGGUAAAGGCUCACCAAGGCUACGAUCAGUAGCUGGUCUGAGAGGAUGACCAGCCACAUUGGGACUGAGACACGGCCCAAACUCCUACGGGAGGCAGCAGUGGGGAAUCUUGCGCAAUGGGCGAAAGCCUGACGCAGCCAUGCCGCGUGAAUGAUGAAGGUCUUAGGAUUGUAAAAUUCUUUCAGUAGGACGGUAAUGACGGUACCUACAGAAGAAGCCCGGCUAACUUCGUGCCAGCAGCCGC